GGGUGCAAUCAUACCGACACUAAUGUACUGGAUCUCAUCAAAACUUCGCAGUUAAGCGUACUUGGGAGAGAGUAUUACUAAGUUGGGUGACACUUGGAAAGUUUUUGUGUUGCACUCU
RNAcentral lists this ribosomal RNA (118 nucleotides) under Cucumis melo (muskmelon). The record is from RNAcentral. RNAcentral also lists the same sequence under 1 other name. Lineage: Eukaryota; Viridiplantae; Streptophyta; Magnoliopsida; Cucurbitales; Cucurbitaceae.